This 429-nucleotide ribosomal RNA is filed under the name bacterium. RNAcentral describes it as "partial 16S ribosomal RNA". It matches the Rfam family "Bacterial small subunit ribosomal RNA", at positions 355 to 776 of the family's 1533-position model. The record is from RNAcentral. RNAcentral also lists the same sequence under 1 other name.
UGGGGAAUUUUGGACAAUGGGCGAAAGCCUGAUCCAGCAAUGCCGCGUGUGUGAAGAAGGCCUUCGGGUUGUAAAGCACUUUUGUCCGGAAAGAAAUGGCUCUGGUUAAUACCUGGGGUCGAUGACGGUACCGGAAGAAUAAGGACCGGCUAACUACGUGCCAGCAGCCGCGGUAAUACGUAGGGUCCAAGCGUUAAUCGGAAUUACUGGGCGUAAAGCGUGCGCAGGCGGUUGUGCAAGACCGAUGUGAAAUCCCCGAGCUUAACUUGGGAAUUGCAGUGGUGACUGCACGGCUAGAGUGUGUCAGAGGGGGGUAGAAUUCCACGUGUAGCAGUGAAAUGCGUAGAGAUGUGGAGGAAUACCGAUGGCGAAGGCAGCCCCCUGGGAUAACACUGACGCUCAUGCACGAAAGCGUGGGGAGCAAACAGG